CAACAAUUUGAAUUAAAAAAAAUCUAAAAAUUCAAUUUAUUUUUCUUUAUAUCGGUCCUCAAUCAUGAGAAAAAUGCCUCAACAUGUUCAGAACUACUGCUGUUGACGCAUUAACACACGAUUAAUUAAUAAAAAAAAAAAAAAAAAAAAAAAGAAAACUUUAAUAUUUUUUAUGCCAAUUAAUUACAUUCUACUGAGUUCUGCUGGAGUAUUUGGAUACGUGAUCCGGCUUGUUGUCAUGGUAACAUGGUAAGACACCACUGAAGCGACACAGACCUCAACUGAAGUGGCAAAGUGUUGCAUGUCUAAAAAGAAAGCUCGGACAAAGAGAGAACGUUCACCUCUAACAGCUUGUUUUUUUGUCCACAAAAGGACUCACCUGAGCUCGCAGCUUUUGCUUUUCGGCCUCCAGAGACCCGAGGUGAGCCGACAGCGCCAUCAUCACCUGAGGAGAGGGAGAAGAGGACGUCCGGUGAGCCGACACAUACCUGGAAUCUGUUUGAGAUUCAAAAUCGAAUGGAUCAGGAAAUGGAGGAGCUCAUCGGCAGAAAUCGGAACCUUCAUAACUGAACUUCAGACCCAGCUCGAUCCUCUCCAGGGACUGCUGGAUGAUGCCGCUCUUCUCCUGCUCCACGCUGCCGCUGGAGGACUCCACCCGGCUCUCCAUCGCCUCCUGCAGGCUCUCCAGCAGGCUGUGGUUCUCCCCCCUCAGCGCCUCCAGCCCCGCGAUCACCUGCUGGGUGCUGCACAGGAUCUCCUCCGCCGACAGCAUCGCUCCUGCUCCAGGCCUCCUCGCCUCAGAGAAACGGGGCUGAGAGCGGCAGGAAGGAGGAGAAAUGAACGGAAACUAAAUGAAUAAUAGUCAGAAAUGACAAACAAAAAUGUUUUAAUUGUGAAUCUACUGGAAUUACGUUGAUCCUGUUAAUGAAAAGUUAUAGUACGUUAAAGAUUUUGUGUGUAAGCAUCACCGGUGACACGUCAGGUGUUAUAUUUUUCAGGGCAACUAAAAAACAAGUGUUGUGCAGCACAAGAUAAUUAAUCUAAAUUUCUAGGUUUUUAAAAUUCUAAACUGCUAGGUUUUGUUAUUUUAGUUUGGGGUUGGACCUUGAUAGUCUUAGUUGUCUUAUUGUUUUCUUUAGCUAGUUUUGGUUAGCCGGCCCUUAAGCGAGGAGCUGCUGAUUCCGACGAUCGACAUUUAUGUCAAUAGGGGGGAAGAGACCCCAAGAGAUGUUGUUUCUCCAACAU
Molecule: long non-coding RNA, 1245 nt
Filed under: Oryzias javanicus (javanese ricefish)
Lineage: Eukaryota; Metazoa; Chordata; Actinopteri; Beloniformes; Adrianichthyidae
Description: lncRNA (ENSOJAG00000015754.1)
Source: RNAcentral